Molecule: ribosomal RNA, 378 nt
Filed under: Frankia sp.
Lineage: Bacteria; Bacillati; Actinomycetota; Actinomycetes; Frankiales; Frankiaceae
Description: bacterial SSU rRNA
Rfam family: Bacterial small subunit ribosomal RNA
Source: RNAcentral
GACGAACGCUGGCGGCGUGCUUAACACAUGCAAGUCGAGCGAGGGGCUUCGGCUCCUAGCGGCGAACGGGUGAGUAACACGUGGGCAAUCUGCCCCGAGCUCUGGAAUAACUUCGGGAAACCGGGGCUAAUGCCGGAUAUGACACUACCGGGCAUCUGGUGGUGUGGAAAGAUUUAUCGGCUCGGGAUGGGCCCGCGGCCUAUCAGCUUGUUGGUGGGGUAACGGCCUACCAAGGCGACGACGGGUAGCCGGCCUGAGAGGGCGACCGGCCACACUGGGACUGAGACACGGCCCAGACUCCUACGGGAGGCAGCAGUGGGGAAUAUUGCGCAAUGGGCGAAAGCCUGACGCAGCGACGCCGCGUGGGGGAUGACGGCC